Molecule: ribosomal RNA, 497 nt
Filed under: uncultured bacterium
Lineage: Bacteria
Description: partial 16S ribosomal RNA
Rfam family: Bacterial small subunit ribosomal RNA
Source: RNAcentral
GAUGAACGCUGGCGGCGUGCCUAAUACAUGCAAGUCGAGCGAACAGAUGAGGAGCUUGCUCCUCUGACGUUAGCGGCGGACGGGUGAGUAACGCGUGGAUAACCUACCUAUAAGACUGGGAUAACUUCGGGAAACCGGAGCUAAUACCGGAUAAUAUAUUGAACCGCAUGGUUCAAUAGUGAAAGACGGUUUUGCUGUCACUUAUAGAUGGAUCCGCGCCGCAUUAGCUAGUUGGUAAGGUAACGGCUUACCAAGGCAACGAUGCGUAGCCGACCUGAGAGGGUGAUCGGCCACACUGGAACUGAGACACGGUCCAGACUCCUACGGGAGGCAGCAGUAGGGAAUCUUCCGCAAUGGGCGAAAGCCUGACGGAGCAACGCCGCGUGAGUGAUGAAGGUCUUCGGAUCGUAAAACUCUGUUAUUAGGGAAGGACAAAUGUGUAAGUAACUAUGCACGUCUUGACGGUACCUAAUCAGAAAGCCACGGCUAACUACGUG